This 54-nucleotide transfer RNA is filed under the name Causonis corniculata. RNAcentral's name for it is "partial tRNA-Phe". The record is from RNAcentral. Lineage: Eukaryota; Viridiplantae; Streptophyta; Magnoliopsida; Vitales; Vitaceae.
AUUUUUAAUUAACUUAAUUGACAUAGACCAAGUCCUCUAGUAAAAUGAGGAUGA